GACGAACGCUGGCGGCGUGCCUAAUACAUGCAAGUAGAACGCACAGUUUAUACCGUAGCUUGCUACACCAUAGACUGUGAGUUGCGAACGGGUGAGUAACGCGUAGGUAACCUGCCUGGUAGCGGGGGAUAACUAUUGGCAACGAUAGCUAAUACCGCAUAAUAUUAAUUAUUGCAUGAUAAUUAAUUGAAAGGUGCAAUUGCACCACUACCAGAUGGACCUGCGUUGUAUUAGCUAGUAGGUGAGGUAACGGCUCACCUAGGCGACGAUACAUAGCCGACCUGAGAGGGUGAUCGGCCAAACUGGGACUGAGACACGGCCCAGACUCCUACGGGAGGCAGCAGUAGGGAAUCUUCGGCAAUGGACGAAAGUCUGACCGAGCAACGCCGCGUGAGUGAAGAAGGGUUUCGGAUCGUAAAGCUCUGUUGUAAGAGAAGAACGGGUGUGAGAGUGGAAAGUUCACACUGUGACGGUAUCUUACCAGAAAGGGACGGCUAACUACGUG
Molecule: ribosomal RNA, 505 nt
Filed under: uncultured bacterium
Lineage: Bacteria
Description: partial 16S ribosomal RNA
Rfam family: Bacterial small subunit ribosomal RNA
Source: RNAcentral